Molecule: long non-coding RNA, 293 nt
Organism: Polypterus senegalus (gray bichir)
Lineage: Eukaryota; Metazoa; Chordata; Cladistia; Polypteriformes; Polypteridae
Exons: 3
Source: RefSeq, a predicted model, not a curated record
GUUUUACUACAUCUAAUGGUUUGUUUUACCUGCAGCAACCCCAGUGAGGAUUUACCUUUAGUUCAUGUCUAUUUGCAAAGGACGCAUCAUGUGGAUAGUACAGUAUUACAGCAGAACACCUGACAUCUGACCCUCUAAAGAGUUAGGCAACCAUACAAACUCGCCAGAAGUUGGACCUUCUAAAUAAGGUGCAUUUAUACGACAAUCACUUGAAAGCCCUCCACUACAAACACAUGAUCUCCAUUCAACUAACUGUGACUUCUGAAAUCAAAUGGUUGGACCAGUGAUGAUUU